Molecule: non-coding RNA, 141 nt
Filed under: Flavobacterium sp. ov086
Lineage: Bacteria; Pseudomonadati; Bacteroidota; Flavobacteriia; Flavobacteriales; Flavobacteriaceae
Source: RNAcentral
UUUUAGCCUGGAUGGGAUUGGAAACCCCGGACUUAUAUUUGUUAGUUUUUUGGGGAUAAAAGAGCGACUUUAGAAGCUCCUUUUAUGCUUUAAAAAAACAACAAAGAUAAGGAGGAGUUGCAAUGUACAGCUGGAAUAGCU